Molecule: long non-coding RNA, 1162 nt
Organism: Perca flavescens (yellow perch)
Lineage: Eukaryota; Metazoa; Chordata; Actinopteri; Perciformes; Percidae
Exons: 3
Source: RefSeq, a predicted model, not a curated record
GGAAUUGAGCCAUCGUUAAGGUGAUCAAUUUCAGCUUUGCUUUUCCUAUUAUGACAAGUCAAAAUGUGUGCUGUGAAAAAGGUCCAUGGACGUUGCAUCAGUUAGGUCAAUUGGUUGCAACCAUUCUGUUUUGAAACCUUGGGUUUGGCACUUUGGCCAUCGCCAUCUUGGUCUUCUGAAACCAUACAAGACAAUUUUUUUUUGACGGAAUGCGCGGCAAAGCCAGUGUCAUGUCGUCUAUGGUCGCAAUGGCGCUGCACUAAGCUAAACGCUAAUUUUAAAGGAAAGUUACAGAUUUUCAACCCUUCUGAUGCGAGUCAUCCAGUGGAGAUUUGCCAGCAGGUCAACGCAGCCCUCCAGUGCCUCCGAUUCAACCCUGCUUCUUUUUCUUUGAGAUGCCUGAUAGGAGAUAAUACAACCUCUAAUGUAUGCUUUAAAUGUCAAACUGCCUCCAAGGAUGGAAAACAUUUGGAGACAAGAGUUACUAUUUAUCGGCUCAUCGGUUGACUAAAACCUGGGAAAACAGCAGAUAAGACUGUAAAAGGAGAGGAGCGGACCUGGCGAUUGUAACAACAAAGGAAGAGCUGGAUUAUGUCAGCAAAUCUGUCCAAACAUGGAUUGGUCUGUCUGACAAGGAUAGCGAGGGCAAGUGGAGGUGGGUGGAUGGGACUCAUCUGGAAAGUUUUUUUCUGGCUAGAAUAUGAGCCCAAUAAUAGUGUUGGCGAUGAGGAUUGUGCUGAGGUCUCUGGUUCGCCAAAGAGAUUUAAUGACGUUUCUUGUAGCAUUAAAUUGCCAUGGACGUGUGAGUAUUGAGGUCCUGUGGGCAGCCAUUUGUUUGUCAGUUGAUGCCAUUCAGGCCCUCCCAUCCCAUUGUACAGUAUCCCACUGACCCCCUGACCCUCCCAAAAGACAAAUAAAUAAUACAUUUUGAUCAGAUUAUCAUUUCUCCUCCCGUAAAUAUAGCCUAUUUGAUAAUUGACAGCCUGAUAACAACUGUUCCAUUGUCCUGUGUCUCUAUUGUACUUGUUAUGUUUAUAACGAACAAGCCCUCCAAAUAAACUCUUACUUCCGAGUUUUUUUUUCUAAUUUCUUUCAUGAAAUAAAAAGCACUAAAACAAAUGUUAAGGGAAUGUAUCCAUUAAAAAAUACACUUAAUGAGUUU